RNAcentral lists this ribosomal RNA (304 nucleotides) under uncultured bacterium. RNAcentral's name for it is "partial 16S ribosomal RNA". It matches the Rfam family "Bacterial small subunit ribosomal RNA", at positions 506 to 807 of the family's 1533-position model. The record is from RNAcentral.
CAGCAGUAGCCGCGGUAAUACGAAGGGGGCUAGCGUUGUUCGGAUUUACUGGGCGUAAAGCGCACGUAGGCGGACUUUUAAGUCAGGGGUGAAAUCCCGGGGCUCAACCCCGGAACUGCCUUUGAUACUGGAAGUCUUGAGUAUGGUAGAGGUGAGUGGAAUUCCGAGUGUAGAGGUGAAAUUCGUAGAUAUUCGGAAGAACACCAGUGGCGAAGGCGACUGACUGGACAAGUAUUGACGCUGAGGUGCGAAAGCGUGGGGAGCAAACAGGAUUAGAUACCCGCGUAGUCCCUGUCUCUUAUAC